GACGAACGCUGGCGGCGUGCCUAAUACAUGCAAGUAGAACGCACAGUUUAUACCGUAGCUUGCUACACCAUAGACUGUGAGUUGCGAACGGGUGAGUAACGCGUAGGUAACCUGCCUGGUAGCGGGGGAUAACUAUUGGAAACGAUAGCUAAUACCGCAUAAUAUUAAUUAUUGCAUGUUAAUUAAUUGAAAGGUGCAAUUGCACCACUACCAGAUGGACCUGCGUUGUAUUAGCUAGUAGGUGAGGUAACGGCUCACCUAGGCGACGAUACAUAGCCGACCUGAGAGGGUGAUCGGCCACACUGGGACUGAGACACGGCCCAGACUCCUACGGGAGGCAGCAGUAGGGAAUCUUCGGCAAUAGACGAAAGUCUGACCGAGCAACGCCGCGUGAGUGAAGAAGGUUUUCGGAUCGUAAAGCUCUGUUGUAAGAGAAGAACGGGUGUGAGAGUGGAAAGUUCACACUGUGACGGUAUCUUACCAGAAAGGGACGGCUAACUACGUG
RNAcentral lists this ribosomal RNA (505 nucleotides) under uncultured bacterium. Its description in RNAcentral is "partial 16S ribosomal RNA". It matches the Rfam family "Bacterial small subunit ribosomal RNA", at positions 28 to 507 of the family's 1533-position model. The record is from RNAcentral.